UAGGGAAUCUUCCACAAUGGACGCAAGUCUGAUGGAGCAACGCCGCGUGAGUGAAGAAGGUUUUCGGACCGUAAAGCUCUGUUGUUGGUGAAGAAGGAUAGAGGUAGUAACUGGCCUUUAUUUGACGGUAAUCAACCAGAAAGUCACGGCUAACUACGUGCCAGCAGCCGCGGUAAUACGUAGGUGGCAAGCGUUGUCCGGAUUUAUUGGGCGUAAAGCGAGCGCAGGCGGAAGAAUAAGUCUGAUGUGAAAGCCCUCGGCUUAACCGAGGAAUUGCAUCGGAAACUGUUUUCUUGAGUGCAGAAGAGGAGAGUAGAACUCCAUGUGUAGCGGUGGAAUGCGUAGAUAUAUGGAAGAAUACCAGUGGCGAAGGCGGCUCUCUGGUCUGCAACUGACGCUGAGGCUCGAAAGCAUGGGUAGCGAACAGGAUUAGAUACCCUGGUAGUCCAUGCCGUAAACGAUGAGUGCUAAGUGUUGGGAGGCUUCCGCCUCUCAGUGCUGCAGCUAACGCAUUAAGCACUCCGCCUGGGGGAGUACGACCGCAAGGUUGAAACUUAAAGUGAAUUGAC
This 569-nucleotide ribosomal RNA is filed under the name uncultured bacterium. RNAcentral's name for it is "partial 16S ribosomal RNA". It matches the Rfam family "Bacterial small subunit ribosomal RNA", at positions 355 to 914 of the family's 1533-position model. The record is from RNAcentral.